UUGACAUGCCAUUUGGCAAGAGGAGAC
Molecule: non-coding RNA, 27 nt
Filed under: Rattus norvegicus (Norway rat)
Lineage: Eukaryota; Metazoa; Chordata; Mammalia; Rodentia; Muridae
Source: RNAcentral